RNAcentral lists this ribosomal RNA (467 nucleotides) under uncultured bacterium. RNAcentral's name for it is "partial 16S ribosomal RNA". It matches the Rfam family "Bacterial small subunit ribosomal RNA", at positions 28 to 507 of the family's 1533-position model. The record is from RNAcentral.
GACGAACGCUGGCGGCGUGCUUAACACAUGCAAGUCGAACGGAAAGGCCCUGCUUUUGUGGGGUGCUCGAGUGGCGAACGGGUGAGUAACACGUGAGUAACCUGCCCUUGACUUUGGGAUAACUUCAGGAAACUGGGGCUAAUACCGGAUAGGAGCUCCUGCUGCAUGGUGGGGGUUGGAAAGUUUCGGCGGUUGGGGAUGGACUCGCGGCUUAUCAGCUUGUUGGUGGGGUAGUGGCUUACCAAGGCUUUGACGGGUAGCCGGCCUGGGAGGGUGACCGGCCACAUUGGGACUGGGGUACGGCCCAGACUCCUACGGGAGGCAGCGGUGGGGAAUAUUGCACAAUGGGCGGAAGCAUGAUGCAGCAACGCCCGUGCGGGAUGACGGCCUUCGGGUUGUAAACCGCUUUCGCCUGUGACGAAGCGUGAGUGACGGUAAUGGGUAAAGAAGCACCGGCUAACUACGUG